GAUUACCUCAGUAACGGCGAGUGAAGCGGUAACAGCUCAAAUUUGAAAUCUGCCGCAAGGCCGAGUUGUAAUUUGUAGAAGAUGCUUUGGGUAUGGCCCCGGUCUAAGUUCGUUGGAACACGACGUCAUAGAGGGUGAGAAUCCCGUAUGUGACUGGGUGCUUUUGCCUACGUAAAGCUCUUUCGACGAGUCGAGUUGUUUGGGAAUGCAGCUCAAAAUGGGUGGUAUAUUUCAUCUAAAGCUAAAUAUUGGCCAGAGACCGAUAGCGCACAAGUAGAGUGAUCGAAAGAUGAAAAGCACUUUGGAAAGAGAGUUAAACAGUACGUGAAAUUGUUGAAAGGGAAGCGCUUGCAACCAGACUUGCACGCUGUUGAUCAUCCAGGCUUCUGUUUGGUGCACUCAACUGCGUUCAGGCCAGCAUCGGUUUUGGUGGUGGGAUAAAGGCCUUGGGAAUGUAGCUUCUUUCGGGGAGUGUUAUAGCCCUCGGUGCAAUGCCGCCUACCGGGACCGAGGACCGCGCUUCGGCUAGGAUGCUGGCGUAAUGGUUGUAAGCGACCCGUCUUGAAACACGGACCAAGGAGUCUAACAUCUAUGCGAGUGUUUGGGUGUCAAACCCAUACGCGUAAUUAACGUGAACGGAGGUGAGAACCCUUAAGGGUGCAUCAUCGACCGAUCCUGAUGUCUUCGGAUGGAUUUGAGUAAGAGCAUAGCUGUUGGGACCCGAAAGAUGGUGAACUAUGCCUGAAUAGGGUGAAGCCAGAGGAAACUCUGGUGGAGGCUCGCAGCGGUUCUGACGUGCAAUCGAUCGUCAAAUUUGGGUAUAGGGGCGAAAGACUAAUCGAACAUCUA
This 849-nucleotide ribosomal RNA is filed under the name Helotiales sp. RNAcentral's name for it is "partial large subunit ribosomal RNA". It matches the Rfam family "Eukaryotic large subunit ribosomal RNA", at positions 73 to 946 of the family's 3401-position model. Lineage: Eukaryota; Fungi; Ascomycota; Leotiomycetes; Helotiales. The record is from RNAcentral.